UGCCAGGGCUUCAGAGCACCUUCCUAGCCAUGGACACGGAGGAGGGGGUAGAGGUGGUGUGGAACGAGCUCCACUUUGGAGACAGGAAGGCCUUCGCGGCGCACGAGGUGAGACCGCUGCCCCCUCCUCAUCCUGCUUGGGUGACCACCUGCUGACCACCCAGCGACCACCCUCCCUCCCCAGGAGAAGAUCCAGACCGUGUUCGAGCAGCUGGUGCUGGUGGACCACCCGAACAUCGUGAAGUUGCACAAGUACUGGCUGGAUACCUCUGAGGCCUGCGCGAGGGUGAGCACGGGCAAGGCCCGGGGCAGGCAGAGACCACAGCUAGGUGGGGCGGGCAUGGGGACGAACCCGCAGCUGGUGGAAAUCCUGAGCUCGCACCCUGCAGGUCAUCUUCAUCACAGAGUACGUGUCAUCCGGCAGCCUCAAGCAAUUCCUCAAAAAGACCAAGAAGAACCACAAGGCCAUGAACGCCCGGGUAUGGGGAGCGGGCUGGGGCAGCCACGGGGACAGGACGGGGUUGGGGCAGCCUCGGGGACUGGGAUGGUGAGGGGGUGCCCGGCGGCCUCGGACGGGGGCUGGGCGAGGAUGCGGGGCGGGCUCCGCAGGCCCAGCCGCCUCUCCUGCGCCCACCCGACGGAGUCGUGCGUCCGCCGCCAGGCCUGGAAGCGCUGGUGCACGCAGAUCCUGUCUGCGCUCAGCUUCCUGCACGCUUGCAGCCCCCCGAUCAUCCACGGGAACCUGACCAGCGACACCAUCUUCAUUCAGCACAACGGCCUCAUCAAGAUCGGCUCCGUGUGGCACCGAAUCUUCUCCAAUGGUAAGUGCGGACUUUGGGGGGAUGGGGUCCUGGAGAGGUCCCCACCCGCUCAGCUCUGCGCCCUUCCACAGCGCUUCCAGAUGAUCUCCGAAGCCCCAUCCGCGCUGAGCGAGAGGAACUUCGGAACCUGCACUUCUUCCCCCCAGAGUAUGGCGGUGAGUGGCGCUGGGUCCGGGCGCCCCGUGCCUGCCCUGCGCUUCUCUCCUACCUGUCCUGUGCUCUCUUCUGUUCAGAGGUGGCCGAUGGGACCGCUGUGGACAUCUUCUCCUUUGGGAUGUGUGCGCUGGAGAUGGCUGUACUGGAAAUCCAGACCAAUGGGGACACCCGGGUAACAGAGGAGGCCAUUGCUCGCGCCAGGCACUCGCUGAGUGACCCCAACAUGCGGGAGUUCAUCCUUUGCUGCCUGGCCCGGGACCCUGCCCGCCGGCCCUCUGCCCACAGCCUCCUCUUCCACCGCGUGCUCUUCGAGGUGCACUCGCUGAAGCUCCUGGCAGCCCACUGCUUCAUCCAGCACCAGUACCUCAUGCCUGAGAAUGUGGUGGAGGAGAAGACCAAGGCCAUGGACCUGCACGCAGUCUUGGCGGAGCUUCCCCGGCCCCGCAGGCCCCCGUUGCAGUGGCGGUACUCGGAGGUCUCCUUCAUGGAGCUGGACAAAUUCCUGGAGGAUGUCAGGUGAGAACUGAUGUAAGGUUGGGGGCCAGGCAGCUGUCAGGCCUGAACCCCCAGCCACCCUGUUGUGUCCCCAGGAAUGGAAUCUACCCACUGAUGAACUUUGCAGCCACUCGGCCCCUGGGGCUGCCCCGUGUGCUGGCCCCACCCCCGGAGGAGGUCCAAAAGGCCAAGACCCCGACGCCAGAGCCCUUUGACUCUGAGACCAGAAAGGUCAUCCAGAUGCAGUGCAACCUGGAGAGAAGCGAGGACAAGGCGCGCUGGCAUCUCACUCUGCUUCUGGUGCUGGAAGACCGGCUGCACCGGCAGCUGACCUACGACCUGCUCCCAACGGACAGCGCCCAGGACCUCGCCUCGGAGCUCGUGCACUAUGGCUUCCUCCACGAGGACGACCGGAUGAAGCUGGCCGCCUUCCUGGAGAGCACCUUCCUCAAGUACCGUGGGACCCAGGCCUGACCCGGAGCCCCAGCCCCAGGGGACCAUGCCGGGGUGCUGCCCGGGCAGGCCAUGUUGGGGAGACCCCAGCACCGUGGGGCUGCCCUCCUCCAUGCGCCUGGGAGCACAAAGGCCCCGGUAGUGAAGGAACC
RNAcentral lists this small RNA (2076 nucleotides) under Pan troglodytes (chimpanzee). RNAcentral's name for it is "retained intron". Lineage: Eukaryota; Metazoa; Chordata; Mammalia; Primates; Hominidae. The record is from RNAcentral.